GUACUUACCUGGCAGGGGAGAUACCAUGAUCACGAAGGUGGUUUUCCCAGGGCGAGGCUUAUCCAUUGCACUCCGGAUGUGCUGACCCCUGCGAUUUCCCCAAAUGUGGGAAACUCGACUGCAUAAUUUGUGGUAGUGGGGGACUGCGUUCNNN
Mustela putorius furo (domestic ferret) is the source of this 154-nucleotide small nuclear RNA. Its record names the gene U1. It matches the Rfam family "U1 spliceosomal RNA". Rfam says of the family: U1 is a small nuclear RNA (snRNA) component of the spliceosome (involved in pre-mRNA splicing). Its 5' end forms complementary base pairs with the 5' splice junction, thus defining the 5' donor site of an intron. There are significant differences in sequence and secondary structure between metazoan and yeast U1 snRNAs, the latter being much longer (568 nucleotides as compared to 164 nucleotides in human). Lineage: Eukaryota; Metazoa; Chordata; Mammalia; Carnivora; Mustelidae. The record is from Ensembl.